RNAcentral lists this ribosomal RNA (395 nucleotides) under uncultured bacterium. RNAcentral describes it as "bacterial SSU rRNA". It matches the Rfam family "Bacterial small subunit ribosomal RNA", at positions 28 to 422 of the family's 1533-position model. The record is from RNAcentral.
GAUGAACGCUAGCGGCAGGCUUAACACAUGCAAGUCGAGGGGUAUAGGGAGCUUGCUUCCUAGAGACCGGCGCACGGGUGCGUAACGCGUAUGCAAUCUACCUUUCACAGAGGAUAGCCCAGAGAAAUUUGGAUUAAUACCUCAUAGUAUAGCAGUUUCGCAUGAAACCACUAUUAAAGUCACAACGGUGAAAGAUGAGCAUGCGUCCCAUUAGCUAGUUGGUAAGGUAACGGCUUACCAAGGCUACGAUGGGUAGGGGUCCUGAGAGGGAGAUCCCCCCACACUGGUACUGAGACACGGACCAGACUCCUAUGGGAGGCAGCAGUGAGGAAUAUUGGACAAUGGGCGCAAGCCUGAUCCAGCCAUGCCGCGUGCAGGAUGACGGGUCCUAAUGG